UGUCGAUGUUUUCAUCGGUAGUUAACUGCAGCCGGUUUUAUUUUUCCUCGACAGUUAACUGCAAAGGGGUAU
RNAcentral lists this microRNA precursor (72 nucleotides) under Medicago truncatula (barrel medic). RNAcentral's name for it is "MIR2629 microRNA precursor family". It matches the Rfam family "MIR2629 microRNA precursor family". The record is from Rfam by way of RNAcentral. Lineage: Eukaryota; Viridiplantae; Streptophyta; Magnoliopsida; Fabales; Fabaceae.